Molecule: long non-coding RNA, 602 nt
Filed under: Chinchilla lanigera (long-tailed chinchilla)
Lineage: Eukaryota; Metazoa; Chordata; Mammalia; Rodentia; Chinchillidae
Description: lncRNA (ENSCLAG00000023377.1)
Source: RNAcentral
ACGGUGGGGACUUCUAACAUUGUGCACCAAAAUAAACAUUUUCUAUGGAUAAGUUACCCCAGAAAUUUGUUCCGGAGAUGGAAAGCCAACCACAGUGAUUCUUCCUGCUCUACCAACUUAUUCCAUGAGGUUCUCUGGUGAUCACAAAAUAUGUUUCUUAUUCUGGCCUCAGAUGAGAACAUGCCAUUUCAAGAAGUCAGCCCUGCACAAGCGUCACACUCCCACUCCGAGUUCACAGGACAGCACAAGCAGACGAGCACUCGAGAGCUGGCUUCGUUUCUCCACUUCUAGCUGCGACCCGGUGGUUGGUAGAGGCUUCCACACUUAGGAGGGGGAUGCGUACUUCCGGAGCCCACGCUGCCUUCAGAAAACCACCAGACGUGCUGAGAUCAAUACAGCAAAGGACUUCUCAACACGAGCAAGGACGUCGUCUAGCGUCGGGUCUCUCUCAGCCCGUGCCUUCUCCUGUGAGAACCCCAGGAUUUCUCCCCUGGAUGGGGCCCGAGAGUGACAGGCUGACUUUCCUAAGAAGUCGCCCGAGCCACCAUGAAGAGCGCCAGAGAAACGAGUCAGUGUUCGGAGCGGCGGCUGUUCCAUCCUCC